This 464-nucleotide ribosomal RNA is filed under the name uncultured bacterium. RNAcentral describes it as "partial 16S ribosomal RNA". It matches the Rfam family "Bacterial small subunit ribosomal RNA", at positions 28 to 507 of the family's 1533-position model. The record is from RNAcentral.
GACGAACGCUGGCGGCGUGCUUAACACAUGCAAGUCGAACGGAAAGGCCCAGCUUGCUGGGUGCUCGAGUGGCGAACGGGUGAGUAACACGUGGGUGAUCUGCCUCUAACUUCGGGAUAAGCUUGGGAAACUGGGUCUAAUACCGGAUAGGACAAUCGUCUAGUGUCGGUUGUGGAAAGUUUUUUCGGUUAGGGAUGAGCCCGCGGCCUAUCAGCUUGUUGGUGGGGUAAUGGCCUACCAAGGCGUCGACGGGUAGCCGGCCUGAGAGGGUGGACGGCCACAUUGGGACUGAGAUACGGCCCAGACUCCUACGGGAGGCAGCAGUGGGGAAUAUUGCACAAUGGGCGCAAGCCUGAUGCAGCGACGCCGCGUGGGGGAUGACGGCCUUCGGGUUGUAAACCUCUUUCGACAGGGACGAAGCUUUGGUGACGGUACCUGUAUAAGAAGCACCGGCUAACUACGUG